CAGCCGCCGCGGUAAUACGAGGGGGGCAAGCGUUGUUCGGAAUUAUUGGGCGUAAAGGGUGCGUAGGCGGUUUGGCAAGUUUGGUGUGAAAUCUUCGGGCUCAACUCGAAGUCUGCAUCGAAAACUGCCGGGCUUGAGUAUGGGAGAGGUGAGUGGAAUUUCCGGUGUAGCGGUGAAAUGCGUAGAUAUCGGAAGGAACACCUGCGGCGAAAGCGGCUCACUGGACCAUAACUGACGCUGAUGCACGAAAGCUAGGGGAGCAAACAGGAUUAGAUACCCGUGUAGUCCCUGUCUCUUAUAC
RNAcentral lists this ribosomal RNA (301 nucleotides) under uncultured bacterium. Its description in RNAcentral is "partial 16S ribosomal RNA". It matches the Rfam family "Bacterial small subunit ribosomal RNA", at positions 509 to 807 of the family's 1533-position model. The record is from RNAcentral.